RNAcentral lists this ribosomal RNA (497 nucleotides) under uncultured bacterium. Its description in RNAcentral is "partial 16S ribosomal RNA". It matches the Rfam family "Bacterial small subunit ribosomal RNA", at positions 28 to 507 of the family's 1533-position model. The record is from RNAcentral.
GACGAACGCUGGCGGCGUGCCUAAUACAUGCAAGUUGAGCGCUGAAGGUUGGUACUUGUGCCGACUGGAUGAGCAGCGAACGGGUGAGUCACGCGUGGGGAAUCUGCCUUUGAGCGGGGGACAACAUUUGGAAACGAAUGCUAAUACCGCAUAAAAACUUUAAACACAAGUUUUAAGUUUGAAAUAUGCAAUUGCAUCACUCAAAGAUGAUCCCGCGUUGUAUUAGCUAGUUGGUGAGGUAAAGGCUCACCAAGGCGAUGAUACAUAGCCGACCUGAGAGGGUGAUCGGCCACAUUGGGACUGAGAAACGGCCCAAACUCCUACGGGAGGCAGCAGUAGGGAAUCUUCGGCAAUGGACGAAAGUCUGACCGAGCAACGCCGCGGGAGUGAAGAAGGUUGUCGGAUCGUAAAACUCUGUUGGUAGAGAAGAACGUUGGUGAGAGUGGAAAGCUCAUCAAGUGACGGUAACUACACAGAAAGGGACGGCUAACUACGUG